AUCGAAAUACAUUGAUUGGAUGUAUUACACAUUGCUCUGUAACUCUCAAUAGAAGUCCUUCUCAACUUCACCCAAAUCGUGAUAUAUAUAUAUAUAUGUAUGUGUGUGUCAAAAUCAAAGAAACUUUCAUUAGAAACAACAAAGUAUCUUACAUAAAUACACUAACUGUCUCAGGCAUAGAAAAAAAAAGAGAAAGAGUAGAUGAAGAAAACAAAAGAUAUACGGAGCUAUUUUUUCUUCUCCAAAAGCUUAACAAUAAUAAUGAUGGAGAAAUGAAUAACCUUCGAAUCAAAACGCUUUUAAAACUUGAACAUAUAAGAAGGUUUCACAUUAAAAUCAUUUUGCAGACUACAUCGUGGAAGAAGAUGUCAAAUCAUGCCACCCAUCUCUCAAAUUGGUUUUCUUCUUUUGAAUUGAAACCCCCAAAACAUUUGCAUCCAUUUUGUUUCUAUACGAUUCUCGCAAACUCAUGUGGUCAUUUUGUCGAGCAGGGUGCAUAGAAAAUGUAAAAAGAUAAGACCAAGUAAAUCGCAACAAAUAGCCAAAGUUUUAAUGAUAUUCAUAUCAGCGAUUAGGUGGACCAAACUCAACGUGUCGUGGGGAGUUAACAUCGUCCAUCACAUUAGGCAUCACAAAAGUCUCAACUUUCAUUGUUUAUGUCAUCUUUUUGUUUCUCUGUUAUACAAAUUUUGAAGAAAGAAUGGACGAUCUAAAGUUAUAAGAAAGGAGAGAAGAAGAAGAACAUGAACCUGUUUUUAUUUUUGUAAAAGAGGCUUAUACGGUUGCCAUUUAGAUCGUAAUUUAACUGGCAAAGGGAUUGAAAGAUGGGAGAGAAAGUGAAGAAUCUUAAGAUCGUGGAAGGAGCAGUUGCUAAAAAAGUGGUCAGACUUUUAUUUAUUUUUUGUCAAAAAAAAUUGUGUUGAAAAAUAAUAGUAGAAAGCAGUGAAUUGUUUUACGAAUGUGAAAGACCAAAAUUUUAAACUUAAUCAUACGUGGCAAAAGGAGAGACUUGCAGUUUUGGGAAAAGUGACUGUUGAUUUAGUAUAACUAGAUUAGAUAUCAUGCAAUAAGGCAAUAAGACAUAUCUGCUGAUAGCAUGGUAUGUUGGGAUUCAAAGGUG
Molecule: small RNA, 1120 nt
Filed under: Arabidopsis thaliana (thale cress)
Lineage: Eukaryota; Viridiplantae; Streptophyta; Magnoliopsida; Brassicales; Brassicaceae
Description: ATSL279810
Source: RNAcentral